This 355-nucleotide long non-coding RNA is filed under the name Setaria viridis. Its description in RNAcentral is "long non-coding RNA (SVIR_LNC008262)". The record is from RNAcentral. Lineage: Eukaryota; Viridiplantae; Streptophyta; Magnoliopsida; Poales; Poaceae.
AAUCACACUGCGACUACUAAUCACCCAGCAAAAUUGUCAGCAAAAUUUCAGGUGCGUAGCGUUUUCUUAAUGAAAACUCGAGGAGGGUUAGCAUCCAUAUAUAAAAAAUUCUUCAUUAGUCAAGCAAAAGUAUUUUUUUAGAAGUGGACUGAAUUGAGCCACAAAAUUAAACCAAGAAAAAAAUCACUGAAUUAUGAAGCAAGCAAGCAUGCGUCUGAAUGAAGCCGCCAAAACUAGCACAUGUAGAAAAACGAGCCUUAGUCCUAGUUGGAAAAUCUUAUAUAUCUCGGUUUCCCCAACUGGGACUAAAAGGUUUUGCACAAAAAAAUAUUCUAAAUUCCCAGGAGACCCCCAC